CCUACGGGGGGCAGCAGUGAGGAAUAUUGGUCAAUGGACGAGAGUCUGAACCAGCCAAGUAGCGUGAAGGAUGACUGCCCUAUGGGUUGUAAACUUCUUUUAUAUGGGAAUAAAAUGUUCCACGUGUGGGAUUUUGUAUGUACCAUAUGAAUAAGGAUCGGCUAACUCCGUGCCAGCAGCCGCGGUAAUACGGGGGAUCCGAGCGUUAUCCGGAUUUAUUGGGUUUAAAGGGAGCGUAGGUGGAUUGUUAAGUCAGUUGUGAAAGUUUGCGGCUCAACCGUAAAAUUGCAGUUGAAACUGGCAGUCUUGAGUACAGUAGAGGUGGGCGGAAUUCGUGGUGUAGCGGUGAAAUGCUUAGAUAUCACGAAGAACUCCGAUUGCGAAGGCAGUUCACUGGACUGCAACUGACACUGAGGCUCGAAAGUGUGGGUAUCAAACAGGAUUAGAGACCCCAGUAGUC
This 460-nucleotide ribosomal RNA is filed under the name uncultured bacterium. RNAcentral describes it as "partial 16S ribosomal RNA". It matches the Rfam family "Bacterial small subunit ribosomal RNA", at positions 338 to 795 of the family's 1533-position model. The record is from RNAcentral.